GACAGAGGGGGCAAGCGUUGCUCGGAAUUACUGGGCGUAAAGGGCGCGUAGGCGGGAUGGCAAGUCGGACGUGAAAUCCCCAGGCUCAACCUGGGAACUGCGUCCGAUACUGGAUGGCUUGAAUCCGGGAGAGGGAUGCAGAAUUCCAGGUGUAGCGGUGAAAUGCGUAGAUAUCUCGAGGAAUACCGGUGGCGAAGGCGGCAUCCUGGACCGGCAUUGACGCUGAGGAGCGAAAGCCAGGGGAGCAAACGGG
This 253-nucleotide ribosomal RNA is filed under the name uncultured bacterium. RNAcentral's name for it is "partial 16S ribosomal RNA". It matches the Rfam family "Bacterial small subunit ribosomal RNA", at positions 524 to 776 of the family's 1533-position model. The record is from RNAcentral.